UCGACGGAGAGUUUGAUCCUGGCUCAGGACGAACGCUGGCGGCGGGCCUAACACAUGCAAGUCGAACGCACUCGACCUUCGGGUCACAUGAGUGAGUGGCGAACGGGUGAGUAACACGUGAGGAACCUGCCCCGAAGACUGGAAUAACCCGAGGAAACUCGGGCUAAUACCGGAUAUCCCCACCAGGUCGCAUGGCCAGGUGAGGAAAUGCUCCGGCGCUUCGGGAGGGUCUCGCGGCCUAUCAGCUAGUUGGUGAGGUAACGGCUCACCAAGGCAUCGACGGGUAGCUGGUCUGAGAGGACGAUCAGCCACACUGGGACUGAGACACGGCCCAGACUCCUACGGGAGGCAGCAGUGGGGAAUCUUGCGCAAUGGGCGAAAGCCUGACGCAGCCACGCCGCGUGAGGGAUGAAGGCUUUCGGGUUGUAAACCUCUUUCAGCAGGGACGAAAAUGACGGUACCUGCAGAAGAAGCUCCGGCCAACUACGUGCCAGCAGCCGCGGUAACACGUAGGGAGCAAGCGUUGUCCGGAUUUAUUGGGCGUAAAGAGCUCGUAGGCGGUUCGGUAAGUCGGGUGUGAAAACUUGAGGCUCAACCUCAAGAGGCCACUCGAUACUGCUGUGACUAGAGUCCGGUAGAGGAGUGUGGAAUUCCUGGUGUAGCGGUGAAAUGCGCAGAUAUCAGGAGGAACACCGACAGCGAAGGCAGCACUCUGGGCCGGUACUGACGCUGAGGAGCGAAAGCAUGGGGAGCAAACAGGAUUAGAUACCCUGGUAGUCCAUGCCGUAAACGUUGGGCACUAGGUGUGGGGUCUCGCUAACAGAUUCCGUGCCGCAGCUAACGCAUUAAGUGCCCCGCCUGGGGAGUACGGCCGCAAGGCUAAAACUCAAAGGAAUUGACGGGGGCCCGCACAAGCGGUGGAGCAUGUGGUUUAAUUCGAUGCAACGCGAAGAACCUUACCAGCGCUUGACAUCCCGAUCGCGGGGACCGGAGACGGACCCCUUCAGCUAGGCUGGAUCGGUGACAGGUGCUGCAUGGCUGUCGUCAGCUCGUGUCGUGAGAUGUUGGGUUAAGUCCCGCAACGAGCGCAACCCUUGUCCUAUGUUGCCAGCGGAUAAUGCCGGGGACUCGUAGGAGACUGCCGGGGUCAACUCGGAGGAAGGUGGGGACGACGUCAAGUCAUCAUGCCCCUUAUAUCCAGGGCUGCAAACAUGCUACAAUGGCCGGUACAGAGGGCUGCAAAACCGCGAGGUUGAGCGAAUCCCACAAAGCCGGUCUCAGUUCGGAUUGGAGUCUGCAACUCGACUCCAUGAAGGCGGAGUCGCUAGUAAUCCCGGAUCAGCAACGCCGGGGUGAAUACGUUCCCGGGCCUUGUACACACCGCCCGUCACACCACGAAAGUCAGCAACACCCGAAGUCAGUGGCCUAACUCUUAGGAGAAGGAGCUGCCGAAGGUGGGGUCGGCGAUUGGGGUGAAGUCGUAACAAGGUAGCCGUACCGGAAGGUGCGGCUGGAUCACCUCCUUU
RNAcentral lists this ribosomal RNA (1526 nucleotides) under Acidimicrobiales bacterium. RNAcentral describes it as "bacterial SSU rRNA". It matches the Rfam family "Bacterial small subunit ribosomal RNA". The record is from RNAcentral. Lineage: Bacteria; Bacillati; Actinomycetota; Acidimicrobiia; Acidimicrobiales.